AAGAUAGUGUGAAUUGGGAACAAUGCUGGCCCUGUGAGGGGUGGCAGGAGAAUUCUAGCUGGCAUUUUCCUUGCGAAGGAGCGAGCCCAAGGCCAUGCUACCUUGGAUGGGGCUGGAGGAGCACACAGCUGCUGGCAUCUCCCCGCUGAACUCCCCAAGUGCCAGGAUGGAACACGUGGCAGCUGUGUGAGCACUGUGCUGUCACUCUGGGGACGCAUCAGUGGCAGUCCAGAGCUGCUAGCACCGACUGCAUGAAAAACACAACCGAAGGGGAGAGAUGAGCUCAAGGUGAGCAAAAGCUGAGCACGCCUGGGCAGCAGUGGUGAAAACAAAAUCAGUGGGAGAUGCUGCCAACGGCCACCCCGACACAUCUGGGCACAACGUGUUAGAGGGGCUGCGGGCAGCCUGGCUGAGCAGAGCCGGCUCCACGGCCGCGGGAUGUGCGGUGCUACGAGGGAUCUCAACCAUCAAUAAACAUCAGUGUCAAAAAGGACAGGAAAAGGUUAUUUAUCACAAAGCAGGCCAAGGAGCAGGAAUGCAGCAGGGGUGACAUGGGCUCUGGCCACCCCGCUGGGGCCGUGUCCGGUGGCAGCUUGGGGUCAGAGCCGCCAGCCCAGUGCUCUGCGUCCCCAUGGUUUGCC
RNAcentral lists this long non-coding RNA (641 nucleotides) under Phasianus colchicus (ring-necked pheasant). RNAcentral describes it as "lncRNA (ENSPCLG00000005997.1)". Lineage: Eukaryota; Metazoa; Chordata; Aves; Galliformes; Phasianidae. The record is from RNAcentral.